Molecule: long non-coding RNA, 811 nt
Filed under: Pan troglodytes (chimpanzee)
Lineage: Eukaryota; Metazoa; Chordata; Mammalia; Primates; Hominidae
Description: lincRNA
Source: RNAcentral
GUCCACUGAUCAUUGCAUCAGUUCAAAUAGGAAGGCUGAAGAAUGCCUUCAUUCACUAAUGGGAAAAGCAUGAUGAUUUCAAGCUGACCUACAGAACUUUGUGCAUCACCUACAACAUUGGCAAGGGUGGCUGAGAAGAAAGCUCUCCAAUACUUGAAAUUAUUUUCAAGUCACUUGCAAAUAAUCUGCUUACUGGGAGGAAGGAAACAGCAGAACGCUUCUGAGAGGUCUGGUGUGUUCCAAUCACCCAUAGAGAGAAACCACAGGACUAAAAAUAAAUGAAUAAAUAAAAAUGCCCAGGAGUUAUAGCAAGUAUGCAUCUUUUUGUUAAAUUUUCUUUCAUGAUGACACAAAACAAGGACUAAAAAUGUUUGCAAGAAACCACAAGGUGAUCUAAUCAGAACUUAGCUAAAAUUACAAAUCUGACAAUGAAUAAAAUUCCCUACUUAAUUCUAGAAAUAAGCUGAUAAUAAUCGCCAAAGCUCAGUAGUCAUUCAAAAUGGGCAACAGUAAUAACUCAUAUACCUAGACCUAUCUUUAAGUUCCAUUAUUCAAGAAGGAAACUAGUAUUCUCAUUUUAUUUUUUUCUGAAUGAAUCUAGAAAAUACUUUAUAGAUAAGAAUAUGUCCACUCUUGCAAAAGAUACCAGUGGCAAGCUUCAGUGUGAAAGAGACAAGUAUCCAUGUGUCAGAUGACAGAGUUGCCACUGAUUUAUUAGCAAAUUGAACUUUUGCUUUAAGAGAAAAAAAUUUCUCAAAAUCUGUAUCUGAUAAAUUAACCCAGUCCUUCAUGAAUACCAUUUCAAAAAGAC